RNAcentral lists this ribosomal RNA (844 nucleotides) under Bacillus cereus. Its description in RNAcentral is "bacterial SSU rRNA". It matches the Rfam family "Bacterial small subunit ribosomal RNA", at positions 54 to 877 of the family's 1533-position model. Lineage: Bacteria; Bacillati; Bacillota; Bacilli; Caryophanales; Bacillaceae. The record is from RNAcentral.
CAUGCAGUCGAGCGAAUGGAUUAAGAGCUUGCUCUUAUGAAGUUAGCGGCGGACGGGUGAGUAACACGUGGGUAACCUGCCCAUAAGACUGGGAUAACUCCGGGAAACCGGGGCUAAUACCGGAUAACAUUUUGAACCGCAUGGUUCGAAAUUGAAAGGCGGCUUCGGCUGUCACUUAUGGAUGGACCCGCGUCGCAUUAGCUAGUUGGUGAGGUAACGGCUCACCAAGGCAACGAUGCGUAGCCGACCUGAGAGGGUGAUCGGCCACACUGGGACUGAGACACGGCCCAGACUCCUACGGGAGGCAGCAGUAGGGAAUCUUCCGCAAUGGACGAAAGUCUGACGGAGCAACGCCGCGUGAGUGAUGAAGGCUUUCGGGUCGUAAAACUCUGUUGUUAGGGAAGAACAAGUGCUAGUUGAAUAAGCUGGCACCUUGACGGUACCUAACCAGAAAGCCACGGCUAACUACGUGCCAGCAGCCGCGGUAAUACGUAGGUGGCAAGCGUUAUCCGGAAUUAUUGGGCGUAAAGCGCGCGCAGGUGGUUUCUUAAGUCUGAUGUGAAAGCCCACGGCUCAACCGUGGAGGGUCAUUGGAAACUGGGAGACUUGAGUGCAGAAGAGGAAAGUGGAAUUCCAUGUGUAGCGGUGAAAUGCGUAGAGAUAUGGAGGAACACCAGUGGCGAAGGCGACUUUCUGGUCUGUAACUGACACUGAGGCGCGAAAGCGUGGGGAAGCAAACAGGAUUAGAUACCCUGGUAGUCCACGCCGUAAACGAUGAGUGCUAAGUGUUAGAGGGUUUCCGCCCUUUAGUGCUGAAGUUAACGCAUUAAGCACUCCGCCUGGG